AGAAGGUUAGUCCAAAAUAAGACUUCUAAUUUCGGCUUAGAAAACCGUGGUUAAAAUCCACGACCCUCUU
This 70-nucleotide transfer RNA is filed under the name Ichthyborus sp. NM-2010. RNAcentral describes it as "tRNA-Arg". It matches the Rfam family "tRNA". From Rfam's summary of the family: Transfer RNA (tRNA) molecules are approximately 80 nucleotides in length. Their secondary structure includes four short double-helical elements and three loops (D, anti-codon, and T loops). Further hydrogen bonds mediate the characteristic L-shaped molecular structure. tRNAs have two regions of fundamental functional importance: the anti-codon, which is responsible for specific mRNA codon recognition, and the 3' end, to which the tRNAs corresponding amino acid is attached (by aminoacyl-tRNA synthetases). tRNAs cope with the degeneracy of the genetic code in two manners: having more than one tRNA (with a specific anti-codon) for a particular amino acid; and 'wobble' base-pairing, i.e. permitting non-standard base-pairing at the 3rd anti-codon position. Lineage: Eukaryota; Metazoa; Chordata; Actinopteri; Characiformes; Citharinidae. The record is from RNAcentral.